UGGGGAAUUUUGGAAAAUGGACGCAAGUCUGAUCCAGCCAUGCCGCGUGCGGGAAGAAGGCCUUCGGGUUGUAAACCGCAUUUGUCAGGGAAGAAACGAGUUUCUCUAAUACAGAGACUUAAUGACGGUACCUGAAGAAUAAGCAACGGCUAACUACGUGCCAGCAGCCGCGGUAAUACGUAGGGUGCGAGCGUUAAUCGGAAUUACUGGGCGUAAAGCGUGCGCAGGCGGUUAUGUAAGACAGAUGUGAAAUCCCCGGGCUCAACCUGGGAACUGCAUUUGUGACUGUAUAGCUAGAGUACGGCAGAGGGGGAUGGAACUCCGCGUGUAGCAGUGAAAUGCGUAGAUUUGCGGAGGAACACCGAUGGCGAAGGCAAUCCCCUGGACCUGUACUGACGCUCAUGCACGAAAGCGUGGGGAGCAAAC
This 426-nucleotide ribosomal RNA is filed under the name uncultured bacterium. RNAcentral describes it as "bacterial SSU rRNA". It matches the Rfam family "Bacterial small subunit ribosomal RNA", at positions 355 to 773 of the family's 1533-position model. The record is from RNAcentral.